AUUGAACGCUGGCGGCAGGCUUAACACAUGCAAGUCGAGCGAGCGGCGGACGGGUGAGUAAUGUCUGGGAAACUGCCUGUUGGAGGGGGAUAACUACUGGAAACGGUCGCUAAUACCGCAUACCAUCUGAUUUGUCCAGAUGGGAUUAGCUAGUGGGGGGGGUAAUGGCUAACCUAGGCGACGAUCCCUAGCGGGUCUGAGAGGCGGACCAGCCACACGGGAACGGAGAAACGGUCAAGACUCCUACGGGAGGAAGCGGGGGGAAAUAUUGGAAAAUGGGCGAAAGCCUGAUGCAGCCAGGCCGCGUGUGUGAAGAAGGCCUUCGGGUUGUAAAGCACUUUCAGCGAGGAGGCGUUACUCGCAGAAGAAGCACCGGCUAACUCCGUGCCAGCAGCCGCGGUAAUAC
This 406-nucleotide ribosomal RNA is filed under the name uncultured bacterium. RNAcentral's name for it is "partial 16S ribosomal RNA". It matches the Rfam family "Bacterial small subunit ribosomal RNA", at positions 29 to 526 of the family's 1533-position model. The record is from RNAcentral.